This 68-nucleotide transfer RNA is filed under the name Anthaxia chinensis. Its description in RNAcentral is "tRNA-Ser". Lineage: Eukaryota; Metazoa; Arthropoda; Insecta; Coleoptera; Buprestidae. The record is from RNAcentral.
AGUUAAUGAGCUUGACCAAAGCCUUUGCUUUGAAAGCAUAUCAAAGAAGUAAAAUCUUCUAUUAACUU